UAGGGAAUCUUAGACAAUGGGGGAAACCCUGAUCUAGCCAUGCCGCGUGGACGAUGAAGGCCUUAGGGUUGUAAAGUCCUUUCGCUGGGGAAGAUAAUGACGGUACCCAGUAAAGAAGCCCCGGCUAACUCCGUGCCAGCAGCCGCGGUAAUACGGAGGGGGCUAGCGUUGUUCGGAAUUACUGGGCGUAAAGCGCGCGUAGGCGGGCUGGAAAGUUGGGGGUGAAAUCCCGGGGCUCAACCCCGGAACUGCCUCCAAAACUAUCAGCCUAGAGUUCGAGAGAGGUGAGUGGAAUUCCGAGUGUAGAGGUGAAAUUCGUAGAUAUUCGGAGGAACACCAGUGGCGAAGGCGGCUCACUGGCUCGAUACUGACGCUGAGGUGCGAAAGCGUGGGGAGCAAACA
This 402-nucleotide ribosomal RNA is filed under the name uncultured bacterium. RNAcentral describes it as "bacterial SSU rRNA". It matches the Rfam family "Bacterial small subunit ribosomal RNA", at positions 355 to 774 of the family's 1533-position model. The record is from RNAcentral.